RNAcentral lists this ribosomal RNA (496 nucleotides) under uncultured bacterium. RNAcentral's name for it is "partial 16S ribosomal RNA". It matches the Rfam family "Bacterial small subunit ribosomal RNA", at positions 29 to 507 of the family's 1533-position model. The record is from RNAcentral.
AUGAACGCUGGCGGCGUGCCUAAUACAUGCUAGUCGAGCGAACAGACGAGGAGCUUGCUCCUCUGACGUUAGCGGCGGACGGGUGAGUAACACGUGGAUAACCUACCUAUAAGACUGGGAUAACUUCGGGAAACCGGAGCUAAUACCGGAUAAUAUAUUGAACCGCAUGGUUCAAUAGUGAAAGACGGUUUUGCUGUCACUUAUAGAUGGAUCCGCGCCGCAUUAGCUAGUUGGUAAGGUAACGGCUUACCAAGGCAACGAUGCGUAGCCGACCUGAGAGGGUGAUCGGCCACGCUGGAACUGAGACACGGUCCAGACUCCUACGGGAGGCAGCAGUAGGGAAUCUUCCGCAAUGGGCGAAAGCCUGACGGAGCAACGCCGCGUGAGUGAUGAAGGUCUUCGGAUCGUAAAACUCUGUUAUUAGGGAAGAACAAAUGUGUAAGUAACUAUGCACGUCUUGACGGUACCUAAUCAGAAAGCCACGGCUAACUACGUG